GGUAUUGUAACAUAUGUUGUAAUAUUGUUAGUAUUUUUAGGGUUAGAUUUUGAAAUCUCAUCUUAUCUUUUUUCUAAAAAAAUUUGACCUAUAUGUGAUUAGUGAUUGUCUAAUAACUUGAUUUAAACACUUUCUAAAUAUCUUAAAAGUUUAAGAAUGUGUUUUUUUGAUUAGUUAUUUGAUUAUAGGGUCUGGAAGACUCACAGAAGACUUCCCAAGAAGUCUUAUGACAUGUCCCGCCUACAUUUUAGUAGAAUUUAGGGUUUCUGCCUAAA
Molecule: long non-coding RNA, 275 nt
Filed under: Brassica napus (rape)
Lineage: Eukaryota; Viridiplantae; Streptophyta; Magnoliopsida; Brassicales; Brassicaceae
Description: long non-coding RNA (BNAP_LNC020041)
Source: RNAcentral